CUACUACAGAUUUGACCUUUUGCCACGCCCCAAUUGUCACGGUUAUAGGCGGAACCGUGACAAAAGGUCAAUUAUCACGGUUUUAAAAGGAACCGUGACAAAAGGAAAUAAUAUUUUAUUAUUAUUGUUUUGGAACCGUGACAACAGAAGUUCAAUAUCUGGCUCUUAUUUUUCCCUCCCCUCCAAUUUUUCCUGAAAAACCCUACCAGUACUGCACCCUAACCUCUUCUCGCGCGCUCUCAAUCGGUCUCUCUCCAAUAUCUGCCUUCUCAAUCGGUCUCUCUUUCCUGCUCCCUCUCAAUCGCCGGUCGCCGUUCUCCGUCACGCCGUUCGCCGUUCGCGCCGUUCUCGGUUCACGCCGUUCUCUGUCACGCGCACUUCUCUCUCUCGAGCACCAUUGCAAAGCCCAGAUUUAUUCGAAGUUGAAGAUCGAAGAGCCAAGCUGAUUGCCACUGACUUAGAGGACCAGUCUGAUUCUAAAUAUCCAGGUAUGGACCGUAAAUGGAUGUUUGCUAAUCGCUUAUCCGAUGAAUAUGCUGCUGGGGUGAAAGA
This is a long non-coding RNA of Lotus japonicus, 552 nucleotides long. RefSeq lists it as uncharacterized. The transcript has 3 exons. Lineage: Eukaryota; Viridiplantae; Streptophyta; Magnoliopsida; Fabales; Fabaceae. The record is from RefSeq and is a predicted model, not a curated record.